This 504-nucleotide ribosomal RNA is filed under the name uncultured bacterium. RNAcentral's name for it is "partial 16S ribosomal RNA". It matches the Rfam family "Bacterial small subunit ribosomal RNA", at positions 28 to 523 of the family's 1533-position model. The record is from RNAcentral.
GAUGAACGCUAGCGGCAGGCUUAAUACAUGCAAGUCGAGGGGCAGCAUGAUUGUAGCAAUACAAUUGAUGGCGACCGGCAAACGGGUGCGGAACACGUACACAACCUCCCAAUAAGUGGGGAAUAGCCCAGAGGAAUUUGGAUUAAUACCCCGUAACAUAACGAUGUGGCAUCACAUUGUUAUUAUAGAUUUUUCGCUUAUUGAUGGGUGUGCGGCUGAUUAGAUAGUUGGCGGGGUAACGGCCCACCAAGUCUACGAUCAGUAGCUGAUGUGAGAGCAUGAUCAGCCACACGGGCACUGAGACACGGGCCCGACUCCUACGGGAGGCAGCAGUAAGGAAUAUUGGACAAUGGAUGCAAGUCUGAUCCAGCCAUGCCGCGUGAAGGAUUAAGGUCCUCUGGAUUGUAAACUUCUUUUAUAAGGGACGAAAAAAGGCUUUUCUAAGUCGUCUGACGGUACCUUAUGAAUAAGCACCGGCUAACUCCGUGCCAGCAGCCGCCGUAA